Molecule: non-coding RNA, 6075 nt
Organism: Zonotrichia albicollis (white-throated sparrow)
Lineage: Eukaryota; Metazoa; Chordata; Aves; Passeriformes; Passerellidae
Source: RefSeq, a predicted model, not a curated record
AAGGUCUGCUACCCCUUCAACUGUCCUGUUUGGUCACUGAGCUCCCCCAAAAUUGUCACUGUCCUGUUCACAUGUAACUCACUAGUGACUGUUGUUGGCCUCUUAUGCCUGUUGGGUCACAGCCACUGUGACUGCACUUGGUCAAGGUGUCUGUUCACCAUCUCUAAGAGCAUUAGUUCUGUUUAUAAAUCUCUGCAGGUAUUCUUGUUGCUGAAUAUGUCAUGUUUCCUAUAAGAAAUUAAGGAUAUUUAACUUAGAGUCAUAGCCUUUUAAUUUUUCUAAACACUGCUCAUGAAUGUAGUCUCGAGUGCAUCAAAAACCUUAAUAAUAAUUCAUGUGCUGUGGCAUGCCUUUAGUCAGCCACAAAACCAGAGCACAGAGAAUGCACAAGAAAUCUCUUGCCCUUUAUGAUUCACCUUAAUGAAGAACUGAGCUCACAGAUACUGCACACAAUUUUUGUCCUCCAUUCACCAGCUUCAAACUGUUAAAAUUCCCCUUGCAAAGAUCCAUUCCCAAGAUUAUUUGUCUCAGUUCCUUCUAUUAAUGUAAGGAUUUAUGACAGCCCAUUUUAGGAUCAUGUAGGAAUUGUGCAUUCACAUUCUGCUGCUGUUUGGGACCCAAUCUUGUUUACUGAGAUUUCAAAUCUGGAUCCACUAGGAAAACACUCUGAUCUUAAACUGUGGGAGGUGCUGGAGUUAUGUAACUUAAAGGAUUUUGUCCAGUCACUGCCAAAGAAGCUCCUCCAUGAGAUUCCAGAAGGUGGUGAAAAUCUCAGGUACAUUAUCAAGCAAGUGCUAAUGCUGUUAUUUUCCAGAACUAUGUGAUCCUUCCAGAAAAUUUACUUCAGAAGGUAUCAGGAUAGAAAUGACACAUCUCCUGUCAUUCUUAGCAGAACUAUUCUGGUAGUGCAAGUGUUUUUGAGGUGACCAACUGGUCACAGUGGUAUAAAUUCUGAUGGCCUGUGUUGUAUGGGAAGCCAAGACUAUUUUCAGCUCAAGUGUAAAGAAGGGGGGCGUGGUGUUGCAACUCAUGCAGUGCCUCAUUAGAUUUGGGUAGAAAAGUGCUCAUUUAUUUAAAUUUAAAAAAUAAAACAAGAAAAAAAAAACAACAACAAAAAAAAUCAACCAAAAAAACCCCAACAAAUUCAAAACCCACCCAAGUCCAGAGAGCUUAUUAUUUUGUUCUAUUUGCUUAAGCAAAAAACCUCAGUUUUAACUUUGAAACAUCAACCCACAGUUAUGCAAGGAGGGUGACACUUGAAAUAAAAAAACUCAAAACUGAGGAGACAAAUAUUGAAGCUUUCAGCAGCAAAGGGACAGGUCUUCAAAAGUGUACUGGGUAUCAACCUGAAUUUUUCAGAUAGAUCAUUUUCAGGAGGACAUUUCUGGAAGGUGCAUACUACAGCUAACAUAUACAAGUAUCCAAACUAUUACACUGAACAUUAUUGAAAAGUGGUUCAGCAUUCAAUCUGGCUCAUUCCUAGUGUCCACUAUAAUGUGAAUGUAAAACUGAAGACUUUUUAAGAUUCAAAGUUCAGCCAUGGGUGUUGAAGAGUCCAACCUUAACUACUAUUGAUAUGCUGAGCAAGAAGAAAUAAAAUUCCAAAGCAGGAUGAACAUAUUUCAGUAGUCUUUUCAGAAACAUAAAGGUUAGGAAAGAAGUACAGACAUGCUCCAUGGUAAUCUCAGCUUUAUCUUGUGCUCCCUUUCCUCCGUGUGCCUGACUUGCCCUUCUCAAAUGUAUUUUUAACAGUGUUGGGCAUAGACAGCUGGUCUGUCUGGCCCAUGCUUUGCUACGGAAGACAAAAAUCUGGUUCUAGAUGAGGUGACAGCUUCUGUUGACAUGGAAACAGAGAUAACUUUGUGCAGCCCACCAUCAAAAGAGAGUUUCACAACUGCACAGCGUUAACUACAGCCCACAGGUUACACACAGUCAUGCAUUCACAGAGAGUGCUUGUUCUGGAUGGAGGAAGGAUUCUAGAAUAUGAUACACCACAGAUACUUUGUUACUGUGAAAAAGUGCCUUUUCUGAAAUGGUUGCAGAGACUGGGAUAAGAAGAUAAAGAAAACUAGUAAGUGAAUUCUGAAGGAAACUCAAAGGAUUUCUGGCAUUCCAUAUAUAUAGGUGCAGUAUUUUAUAUUUCAUAUAAAACAACUGACUUAAGAGCUCCUUGCAGCAUUGCUGUUUACUACAGCUACAAUCUGUAUGUAUUACUCCGUUUUCUUAAAAUUCAGAUUUUAUACAAAUCACUUGUUUUAUCAUAUUGGCACUGGGACAACAGAAUGAAGCAGAGAUGGAUUUUCAUGGCUAAAACUUUUGCAUUAGUAAAGACUGAUUGAAAAAUAAAUCCUGCUGUUGACAUGCUGGUCUUAACUUAAUCUAAGUUGCUCUGACAUUAUGCUCAUUUAGUUACUAAUUCUUAUUAUGAUUACACAUUCAGGAAAAAACAAAACUGCUUGUUGUGUGGACACAGAGACAGAUGUCACUUGGGGUUAAUUUUAAUACAUCCCCCCAUUUUUACUUAGGUAGGUCUUGAGGCAAUAAAUGUGCCCCAUUAAGUCAGUUUUCUGUUUGUGAUUUCUGAAAAACUGAAAACCACAUCUUACAUAUCUGAGCACUACAAAAUCUCAUUGUGAAAGAAUCCCAAAAAAUGCAGUCAGGUGGAGCUGCCUCUUUGCUGGUAACUAUUAAUGUAAACCUCCCUAUAAUUACAGAAGCAGGACAGAUUAUGUACACUUACUUGAAGUGUCAGCUGAGUGUAUCUGCUUCUGUAGGCCACAUAAAUAGUUAUUUCCAUUUUUCUUGCAGUUCCUGAAGCUCUUGAAAUUUAAUACUGACAUGUAAUCAGUCUUCUCUUAAGACCCCCCAUCAACUGCUUAAAAAAACCCAAAAAAAGUAAUAAAGUUCCUGGGUACAGCCCUGUUAUAUUAGUUUAAUGCUGACACCUGGUGUAUCGAGUACAAUCUUAAUUUCUUGCCCAAGGGAAAGUUAUGUGCACGUAGGCUAGGGGAGGUAGCCAUCAAUACCUUAGGAACCAAUCCCUUUUGCAAGGUCUAGAGAAAACAGUCUGAGGAGAGGCAUCAGUGCAUGGUAAUUUUUGCUUUAUUGAAUUUUUGGGGAGAGCUUUCUGUGCUUACUGCCAGGCCAACAUAACCUUUCACUUCCAGUUACUUUCAGAAUGCAGCUGGGAGAGCUGCCGACUGAACAAUGGCAAAGCCUGAGAGAAAAGAAAAUGCUGGACUAGUGUCAGCAAAGCCAUUCCUUCUCUUUCAGUGAGCUGUACCCCUCAUAUUUGACUGUAACUUCUGCUUUUCGCCAGCUUUGAAACAUUUAUGAAACACUGUAAUUGUUGAGGCUCUGCAGACUCUACAGCUCCCCAAGACAAAGCAGAUGUUCAAACUCUCUCACAGCUGACACAACUUCAUCUUCUACACUUCAAAGGAAUUUGAGGAAGACAGAAUUUCCUUGAGAAAGUGAAAGAAGACAGAUCCAAGGGGUAGAAAUUGCUUUUAUUUUAAAAAAUCUAAAAUUAUUUAUAAAAUGCAUUUCAUCAUCUGCACUGGGAAACAAUUAGGGAACACACAAUUGUUGAGGCCUCUUGAUGCUUUCAGAAUUUUAACUUGCCAAACAAGGCUUAGCUAGAGAAAUUGGUUACACACCUACCACCACAGGCAGUCAUAAGGAUUACAGAAAGAUUUCAGCCUUCAAGUAUCAACUUUUUUACAGAGAGACUUUUGGUAAACAGCCCAUGUGCACACCUGGAAAUAUCCACUUAGUGCAGUGGACCCGCCUUUAAAAUUUAAUUUUGUGCCAAAAUACAGUAUUAAAAGAUACAAAAUAAAUAAUUCAGAAAAUUUAAUAAAUAAGAAUGCAUUGAUAUCCAGUGUAUAGUAACUUCUCUACUAAAAACUCCAACCUGUAUAGAUCUCUGAAUAAAUGCCCUUUUGUGGAUUUAGUUUGUACAAGUAAACAACCUGCCCUUCCCUUCCAGUUCCCAGAUUAACACUGAAGGAGAUUUAACUCCCCCAGGGUGAAGGAGAAUGUGAAAGAAAAAAAUACUUCAUUUAUUUGCUCUGAGAGUUUUAACAGCUCCUACCUAACUUGUCCCAAAACUAUAAAGCUUUUAAUAGUUUAACUUCUCUGUGAAGUGGUUCUGUUUUAUACAGGUCUGCUUGCUUUACACAGUGCAUUAAAGACAUGAAGACCAAAGUCCUACUGUACCUCCAGUGGAUUUUGGGAUGAACUUACAGCAGGGCAGAAGGAAAGGCCACAGUGACUCUAAAGAGCUGGUACAGAUGUUGAACACACACAUUUACACAGCAGCAACUGAGGAAUGUACUGCACCCAUCCAUGGUGUCACUGAAGAGGCACUUCUUUCACUGCAGGAGUUUUACUUACUGGAAGCUCCACACUUAGCUGGGGUCACUUUCAAAGAGGCACAAAGGAAGGAAAGAAUCCUCAAAUUAAAAAAAAAAUCCUGGUUUUCAAUGCAGGAAAAUUAAGCAGAUGUCAGCAGUACUUUGGGAAUCCUCUGUCAGGUUAAACAAUGCUGAUGGAAUGGCUGUGUGCAACUAUGAUUCAAUUUAAGAGGUUUUUAAUUGGAUUACCUCAAAGAUGCAUUUAGACAAUAGCUAUGCAAACAGCUGAAUCAGCACAACUGAUUUAUGGCAGUGCCAUAAAUCAGGCCUGCUGCCAGGAGAGUAAUAAGCCUAUUUUAAUAUAGUCAUAGGUUAAAACAAUAAAUCUAAGCCCCACACUUUAUCUUAGCAAGGUUAAUACAAAAUUAUUCUGGAGAAGACAAGAAAAUCCUUAAAACUACCUGCUACUAGAGCUUACUUGAUGAAGACUGGGGUGAUGGAUGUUGAAACCAGUCUUAGCUGUAAGACAUGUUUUUUUGGUAGGAAGUUCCAAGCAGAUAACAGAAUUCAGCUGGUGCUUGAUUAUUGCUUAAUCCCUCCAAAGAGAACUGUCACCAAUUCAGUAUUUUUUCAGAUCAGUGACUUGGUUCUCCUCUCAACACAUUUUCAAAGUAUCUGGAUAGAGAUCUAUUUGACUAAAAGAGAGUCCUAAGAAGUGCCACCUCAAACCUCGAGUUACAGACAACACUUGUGUAACACUUGUGUAACACUUUCCCAACAGGACAGCUACAACCUCUGUUCCAUUUAGAGUAGGGAUAUGAAAAAGCUUAAACCACAUAAGAACUAAAAAGCACAAAGUAGUUGGGUCAAUUUUCAUUUACUAGGGCUACAGGAAUUACAUUUCAUCCAGGCCAUCCCUUCUGUCCCACACUUUCUCCACGAGGACAGUAUGGCUUGGGGUGCUUCACAGAGAAGAUGUCACACACUUGUAAAAGCAGAAUGAUGAAAUCCAUGUUGGUCAAAUUCAAGAGAAGACAGGCAGGUGUGGCCUCACAUAAAAUCACUGCAGUUUUAAAGUAAGGCAGGGGCAGGUAUGAAUAUUUGGCAAUAUACCCUCGUUCUCUGUGGAGAACAUCAGCACCUGUGUUUAACCAUCACAGCCAGGUCAGGAAUGAAGCCCUUGGAGACCAAGAAACUGCACUGGCAAGAGCCACGUUUUCAAUAAGGUUUCCUAAUCAUGGGACAAUUUGCCACAGAGCUUCAGCAUACCAUUAUGCUGUUAUGAACAGCAGAAGAAUCAAGUGAAUGCUUCAGUCUCAUUUAAGCUGCAAGAUGCCUUUAGGAAAGGUGCUUAAAUGCUCAAAUGGCCCAAUCUAAUAAAUAAGUGUAAGCUGAACACUGCCAGUGCUCUGUGCAUUAAUGCUGCUUCACAGUCCUUCCAAGGAAAUACACUGGACCCAGGAAUACUUCAGUACCACAUCAUCUCAAACCUUUGGUCACGCUCCCUUGACACUUUAAAUACACACCACUCCAGGAUUUGCUAAUAAAAACAUUUAGCAAGAAAAUGUGGGUGUGUCGUCAUUGGCAUUUUCAUCCAAUAUCCCCUCUCCAAGUAAACACAGCACACUUCAGAACUCGUUUGUACCUUUAAAGUAACAUCAAGCUUUAGCACAGGUAGGUGUCCAGUAACACCUAAUGGGAACAGGUGAAAAUUGAA